RNAcentral lists this transfer RNA (78 nucleotides) under Acidobacteriota bacterium. RNAcentral's name for it is "tRNA-Met". It matches the Rfam family "tRNA". From Rfam's summary of the family: Transfer RNA (tRNA) molecules are approximately 80 nucleotides in length. Lineage: Bacteria; Pseudomonadati; Acidobacteriota. The record is from RNAcentral.
UGCGGGAAUGGAGCAAAGGUGGCUCAACGGUCUCAUAAGCCGUCAAUCGGACAGGUUCGAUUCCUGCUCCCGCAACCA